Brassica napus (rape) is the source of this 1400-nucleotide long non-coding RNA. RefSeq lists it as uncharacterized. The record is from RefSeq and is a predicted model, not a curated record. NCBI's taxonomy places the organism in Eukaryota, Viridiplantae, Streptophyta, Magnoliopsida, Brassicales, Brassicaceae. The transcript has 2 exons.
UCCGAUAUGAUUAUAUGCGUCUUUGAUGUUCCGUUUCAUGUACUCUUCAGUCUCUUUGUUAUGUAGCUAAGUACGAUUCACUGUCUUUGAUUGUGAUACAUUCAGAUUCGAGAACAUAACAAACAUUUUGAGUGAGACAGAAAACGUUACCGUGGGUUGGACAUCUCAUUAUUUCAUACAUACCUAACAGAACAAACAGAUUCUGCUUUAAGAAAUAACCUCUAUGAAACUAAGAAGCACAGAUACACUAUUAGAAGUAAAUUAACAGUACAUUGAUCCCUUAGUGACCUAACACCAUCGAGAAUUUGGUAUUUGGUUGCAGCUUUCCUUCUCUGCAGCAAAUAACAAUUUCCAUAUCUGAAGGCAGGCACCAACCAAAGUAAAUGCAUGCUAAAGGAGGAACAAAUAAUGGAUCUAUCAACGUAUUAUUGAUAUUUUUCCAAGAUGUGUUGUACAUUAAUUCGCAUGUAACGAAUCCAUUUUCUAAUAUUGGCUUAUUAGGCCUCCCUUUGCAUACUUUGAACAUCAUAUUUGUUCUUCUUUCUGGAACAUUCACCGUAAACGGCAAAGUAAAUCCAGCAUCGGAAGCUAAUGGUUGGCGAUCCAAAAGCUGCAGAUAUUGUGUUCACAUGUGGGGUCUAUAUAAUUGACAUUAAGUUCGGCUUUGGUUUGUCUCUCCACAUUAUUUAAAAAGCUACCCUUUUUGCUUCUACUUUGGCCCAGAGAAAAUUGAUGGUUAGUACUUUCGGUCACUGGUGAGGUAACAUUGGUGUAGAAACUCUCUUCAGAGUUCUUUUUGGGUUCAAAAAGAAAACAUGGCAAUGGUGGUGAAGAAACUCAUCCAGAUGAGCUUGGAAAUGAACACACUGGGGUAUCAUCAUCCAUAACUUAAAACCAUUUAUUUUCCUCAUUAUGUAUUAACUUUUCUGCCACGAUUUUUUUUUUGGGUUCAUGUAUCUGUUAAUUUCUUAUGCAGAAAAGAGCUAUGGUUUCAAGAGGAGAGAUGACGUUUCAAGAUGUUUACGGUGCAGAGGCAUUGCUGAAUGAAGAAGAUGAGGAGGAUGAUAGUGGUUGGAACCUGAGCAGCAGACGAUACCCGUUGAGUUUGUGAAAUGGUGUUGCGUCAAUUCCACUAUGGUGAAUCGUGGUGAUAUGGUCCAUUGUUAUGUAUGCUUUACUUUCACUAUGACCCAUGAAGUUAUUAUGAUAGGUUCUUCGGAAAUUCACUGUCUCCUUUGAUGCUAAACAUUGUUAUCAUAAUCACACAUUAUUUUAACACAUGUUAUCUUUGUAGAUUGUAAUUGUCUUUGUAAUGUUCCUUUUUGAAAUUAUUUUCUUAUGUUCAGUACACACCGACAAUAAAUAUAUGAAGUAUAAGGUGCAUUUUUGCUGAGCUCUUA